Molecule: ribosomal RNA, 896 nt
Filed under: Pseudomonas sp. BA-65-09
Lineage: Bacteria; Pseudomonadati; Pseudomonadota; Gammaproteobacteria; Pseudomonadales; Pseudomonadaceae
Description: bacterial SSU rRNA
Rfam family: Bacterial small subunit ribosomal RNA
Source: RNAcentral
AGUCGAGCGGUAGAGAGAAGCUUGCUUCUCUUGAGAGCGGCGGACGGGUGAGUAAUGCCUAGGAAUCUGCCUGGUAGUGGGGGAUAACGCUCGGAAACGGACGCUAAUACCGCAUACGUCCUACGGGAGAAAGCAGGGGACCUUCGGGCCUUGCGCUAUCAGAUGAGCCUAGGUCGGAUUAGCUAGUUGGUGAGGUAAUGGCUCACCAAGGCGACGAUCCGUAACUGGUCUGAGAGGAUGAUCAGUCACACUGGAACUGAGACACGGUCCAGACUCCUACGGGAGGCAGCAGUGGGGAAUAUUGGACAAUGGGCGAAAGCCUGAUCCAGCCAUGCCGCGUGUGUGAAGAAGGUCUUCGGAUUGUAAAGCACUUUAAGUUGGGAGGAAGGGCAUUAACCUAAUACGUUAGUGUUUUGACGUUACCGACAGAAUAAGCACCGGCUAACUCUGUGCCAGCAGCCGCGGUAAUACAGAGGGUGCAAGCGUUAAUCGGAAUUACUGGGCGUAAAGCGCGCGUAGGUGGUUCGUUAAGUUGGAUGUGAAAUCCCCGGGCUCAACCUGGGAACUGCAUUCAAAACUGUCGAGCUAGAGUAUGGUAGAGGGUGGUGGAAUUUCCUGUGUAGCGGUGAAAUGCGUAGAUAUAGGAAGGAACACCAGUGGCGAAGGCGACCACCUGGACUGAUACUGACACUGAGGUGCGAAAGCGUGGGGAGCAAACAGGAUUAGAUACCCUGGUAGUCCACGCCGUAAACGAUGUCAACUAGCCGUUGGGAGCCUUGAGCUCUUAGUGGCGCAGCUAACGCAUUAAGUUGACCGCCUGGGGAGUACGGCCGCAAGGUUAAAACUCAAAUGAAUUGACGGGGGCCCGCACAAGCGGUGGAGCAUGUGGUUUAAUU